UAUAUAUUACCUCCGUCCCAAAAAUCUUGUCUUAGAUUUGGAUGUAUCUAACACUAAAAUGUGUCUAGAUAUAUCUGUAUCUAGACAAAUCUAAGACAAGUAAUUCGGGACGGAGGGAGUAUUAU
Triticum aestivum (bread wheat) is the source of this 125-nucleotide non-coding RNA. Lineage: Eukaryota; Viridiplantae; Streptophyta; Magnoliopsida; Poales; Poaceae. The record is from Rfam.